UGUAGCAAUACAAGGCUGAGCUAGUGGCGAACGGGUGCGUAACACGUGAGCAAUCUGCCUUAAAGUGGGGGAUAGCUCGCCGAAAGGCGAAUUAAUACCGCAUGUGGUUGUAAAACCAAAGCCGGGGCAACCUGGCGCUUGUAGAGGAGCUCGCGGCCUAUCAGCUUGUUGGUGAGGUAACGGCUCACCAAGGCUUCGACGGGUAGCUGGUCUGAGAGGACGACCAGCCACACUGGAACUGGGACACGGUCCAGACACCUACGGGUGGCAGCAGUCGAGAAUUUUUCUCAAUGGGGGAAACCCUGAAGUGAGCGACGCCGCGUGGAGGAUGAAUGCUUUCGGGUUGUAAACUCCUGUCAUUUGGGAACAAAGCCUUACGUUAACUGCGUGGAGGACUGAUAGUACCAGAAGAGGAAGAGACGGCUAACUCUGUGCCAGCAGCCGCGGUAAUACAGAGGUCUCAAGCGUUGUUCGGAUUCAUUGGGCGUAAAGGGCGCGUAGGCUGCGGGGUAAGUCGGGUGUGAAAUCUCAGAGCUCAACUCUGAAACUGCACUCGAUACUGCUCUGCUAGAGGACUGGAGAGGAGAUUGGAAUUCUCGGUGUAGCA
Molecule: ribosomal RNA, 607 nt
Filed under: uncultured Verrucomicrobiota bacterium
Lineage: Bacteria; Pseudomonadati; Verrucomicrobiota
Description: bacterial SSU rRNA
Rfam family: Bacterial small subunit ribosomal RNA
Source: RNAcentral